This 1284-nucleotide long non-coding RNA is filed under the name Phasianus colchicus (ring-necked pheasant). RNAcentral describes it as "lncRNA (ENSPCLG00000008654.1)". Lineage: Eukaryota; Metazoa; Chordata; Aves; Galliformes; Phasianidae. The record is from RNAcentral.
CAAUGCAAAAGAGUUUUGUGAUGAAAAGGAGUGAAUACGCAGCGAGCUUUACAUCUCUGAGCAUCGUUUAGAGCUGAAUAUUUAAACAUUCAGAACGGAGAUAGCCUUGUUUUGUUAAUAGUCUCAUUGCAGGUCUAAUGCAUACAUCUCUCAUAUCAAUAAAUUUGCAUAGGUAAAACUUAGGAGUUCUCACACCUAACGUGAAAACAAUAGGUUUCAGUAGCAUCAAAGUGUCAAAUUUGAUAAUAACAACAUCAACAGCGGGGAAAAAUGUGAAGGUGCUAUAGGUCUUGUUUUUGUAGCAAGACCUGCAAUUUAAAAUGAGCUAAUGGACAUCAGGAGCAGUGUCUUCUGCUUCCAUAACACAGGCUGUACUUUUGUGCUGGACUGCCCCUGUGAAAAGCAUUGGUUCUAUACAUGGUUCUGUACAUCACGGGACUGGGAAUAUUUUUAAAUAACACAAUGCCAUGUGGGCACUUCGUCAGUGGAGGUCAAAGUGAUGGUAAGCACCACUUACAGUAAAAAGGUUCUAAUCCAGUCCCACACAGCUCUCCAGAACCACACCAAAAAGGCUUGUGCCCUGCUAAGGAUAAACGAAUCUGGCUCCUCGUUUGUGCCAUAACCCCUGAAUGCCUGCUUUUCACUUGAAAACUCGUUUGUUCUAGGGAAUGAGCCACAAAGGGUAGUGUUACAGAUGCUGCAUUACAAGAUAGAGAUGGUAUCUCCUUUAUGCCUUAAAUAAAUAUCUAGCUGAUCUCAGUUCUAAACAACAGAAGACAGGCACCUGCACAAAGAUGGGAAGGCUGAAUGGCGCUGAGCAUGAAGAUUCCCGGUGGCAACGAAUGCCCCGAAUGGAGCUGUUUGAUUUGCACCAGCACUCCCCAGCCCCAGAGUCAUUUAGACGAGGCAGCGCUAAUCACUCCUCAUUGCAGCUGAUUGGCAGAAUCACACUAAUGACAUCCCUGAAGCUGCCUUCGUGCUCAUCCUGCAGGAUCCUUUGCAGGAGAGGCAGUUCCUCCAAUCCCUCCCAGUGCCGGCGCUCUGUCUUCCUGCUCCCUGCCCUGUGCGGGCAGCCCACACUGGCUUUGAUUUCAGUAUAUUUGAGCAUCUGCACCCCAGGUGAAAUCACUGUGCUUUGCUGGUUGAAUCACUGCUGCGAUGGAGCAAAAGAGAAGUAUUGUGGUCUUCCCUUCUGCUGGAAGCAGCAGCCUGUGUUCUCCUUCUCAUAAAGUGUUAUCAGACACGAAGCAAACAGGAAGAUGAAAAAGGAGAAAUACUUUAACA